AUACGGAGGGUGCAAGCGUUAAUCGGAAUUACUUGGCGUAAAGCGUACGUAGGCGGUUUAUUAAGUCAGAUGUGAAAGCCCCGGGCUUAACCUGGGAACUGCAUUUGAAACUAGUAGACUAGAGUAUGGUAGAGGGGGGUAGAAUUCCUAGUGUAGCGGUGAAAUGCGUAGAUAUUAGGAGGAAUACCAGUGGCGAAGGCGACUCCCUGGACUCGAACUGACGCUGAGGUACGAAAGCGUGGGUAGCAAACGGGAUUAGAAACCCGGGUAGUCC
RNAcentral lists this ribosomal RNA (274 nucleotides) under uncultured bacterium. RNAcentral describes it as "partial 16S ribosomal RNA". It matches the Rfam family "Bacterial small subunit ribosomal RNA", at positions 523 to 796 of the family's 1533-position model. The record is from RNAcentral.